AACGAACGCUGGCGGCGCGCUUAACACAUGCAAGUCGAACGAGAAGCUGUAGCAAUACAGUUGUACAGUGGCGAACGGGUGAGGAAUACAUGGGUAACCUACCCUCGAGUGGGGAAUAACCAGCCGAAAGGCUGGCUAAUACCGCGUACGCUUCCCAAUCUGCGGGUUGGGAAGGAAAGCUCUACCGUGGGUAGAGCGCUCAAGGACGGGCUCAUGUCCUAUCAGCUUGUUGGAGGGUAACGGCCUACCAAGGCAACGACGGGUAGCUGGUCUGAGAGGACGAUCAGCCACACUGGCACUGCGACACGGGCCAGACUCCUACGGGAGGCAGCAGUGAGGAAUAUUGGACAAUGGGGGCAACCCUGAUCCAGCCAUGCCGCGUGAGUGAUGAAGGCCUUC
Molecule: ribosomal RNA, 399 nt
Filed under: uncultured bacterium
Lineage: Bacteria
Description: bacterial SSU rRNA
Rfam family: Bacterial small subunit ribosomal RNA
Source: RNAcentral